GACGAACGCUGGCGGCGUGCUUAACACAUGCAAGUCGAACGGAAAGGCCCUGCUUUUGUGGGGUGCUCGAGUGGCGAACGGGUGAGUAACACGUGAGUAACCUGCCCUUGACUUUGGGAUAACUUCAGGAAACUGGGGCUAAUACCGGAUAGGAGCUCCUGCUGCAUGGUGGGGGUUGGAAAGUUUGGGCGGUUGGGGAUGGACGCGCGGCUUAUCAGCUUGUUGGUGGGGUAGUGGCUUACCAAGGCUUUGACGGGUAGCCGGCCUGAGAGGGUGACCGGCCACAUUGGGACUGAGAUACGGACCAGACUCCUACGGGAGGCAGCAGUGGGGAAUAUUGCACAAUGGGCGGAAGCCUGAUGCAGCAACGCCGCGUGCGGGAUGACGGCCUUCGGGUUGUAAACCGCUUUCGCCGGUGACGAAGCGUGAGUGACGGUAAUGGGUAAAGAAGCACCGGCUAACUACGUG
Molecule: ribosomal RNA, 468 nt
Filed under: uncultured bacterium
Lineage: Bacteria
Description: partial 16S ribosomal RNA
Rfam family: Bacterial small subunit ribosomal RNA
Source: RNAcentral